CAUUUGAGUGAGUGGCGAACUGGUGAGUAACACGUGGGAAACCUGCCCAGAAGCGGGGGAUAACACCUGGAAACAGAUGCUAAUACCGCAUAACAACUUGGACCGCAUGGUCCGAGUUUGAAAGAUGGCUUCGGCUAUCACUUUUGGAUGGUCCCGCGGCGUAUUAGCUAGAUGGUGAGGUAACGGCUCACCAUGGCAAUGAUACGUAGCCGACCUGAGAGGGUAAUCGGCCACAUUGGGACUGAGACACGGCCCAAACUCCUACGGGAGGCAGCAGUAGGGAAUCUUCCACAAUGGACGAAAGUCUGAUGGAGCAACGCCGCGUGAGUGAAGAAGGGUUUCGGCUCGUAAAACUCUGUUGUUAAAGAAGAACAUAUCUGAGAGUAACUGUUCAGGUAUUGACGGUAUUUAACCAGAAAGCCACGGCUAACUACGUGCCAGCAGCCGCGGUAAUACGUAGGUGGCAAGCGUUGUCCGGAUUUAUUGGGCGUAAAGCGAGCGCAGGCGGUUUUUUAAGUCUGAUGUGAAAGCCUUCGGCUCAACCGAAGAAGUGCAUCGGAAACUGGGGAACUUGAGUGCAGAAGAGGACAGUGGAACUCCAUGUGUAGCGGUGAAAUGCGUAGAUAUAUGGAAGAACACCAGUGGCGAAGGCGGCUGUCUGGUCUGUAACUGACGCUGAGGCUCGAAAGUAUGGGUAGCAAACAGGAUU
Molecule: ribosomal RNA, 709 nt
Filed under: uncultured bacterium
Lineage: Bacteria
Description: bacterial SSU rRNA
Rfam family: Bacterial small subunit ribosomal RNA
Source: RNAcentral